GCAAUAUAAAGGGUGGCGCCAGCAGCAACGGUCCUUUUGGAGCCGGACUCUGAGGGUGGAUGUGAAAUUUAAUGUUUGUGCAGCACUGGUGCAAGGCGUUUGGGUAUGGUGAUUUUAAAAAAGAGUAAAUCUGCAGAUGCUGGAAAUCCAAGCAGCGUGCACAAAAUACUGGAGGAACUCAGCAGGCCACGCAUCAUGUAUGCCAAAGAGAACAGUUAACGUUUCUGGUUGAAACCCUUUGGCAGGGCCCUUUGCUGGUCCAAAGAACUAUGAGGAGCAGUCGCAAAUACAGGCUAUGUGCUACAAUAAGCAUUUCCAGAAUUUUCCAAAGUCAAGCCAACUUUGGUCAUAUGAACUGGAAGAAAUAGCAGUGUCUUGGACAUUAAGGUCCUGUGGUGCCAUGAACAUCUGCAAAAUAUGGAUGGAAGCAUCCGAACAGAUUUCGUGGAUGUAGAAAUUACAGAGCGGCACGCACACAUUGUGAGAGUAAUGCAGCAGGUCCUAAUAUUUUGGAGGAAGAUUUUGAAGUGAAUGGUGAUACUGUAGCAAGGUGAAUGAUAGUAAAAUGGCUUUGAAUGAUGACUCCUUGAAGAUCAUCCUGCAUAUGCUAGUGUAUCUUACAGCAUUGGGCUGCUGAUCAUAAAAAUGCAUCAUUGUUUUGUUCAUGCUGUAUGGGCAUAGCAUUUUGUGUCUACCUAUCAGAAUAAAGUCAUUGUAUUUUCAGAA
Molecule: long non-coding RNA, 726 nt
Organism: Hypanus sabinus (Atlantic stingray)
Lineage: Eukaryota; Metazoa; Chordata; Chondrichthyes; Myliobatiformes; Dasyatidae
Exons: 8
Source: RefSeq, a predicted model, not a curated record